RNAcentral lists this non-coding RNA (47 nucleotides) under unclassified sequences. RNAcentral describes it as "eL15-Euryarchaeota ribosomal protein leader". It matches the Rfam family "eL15-Euryarchaeota ribosomal protein leader". The record is from RNAcentral.
CCUGCCUGUGCAGGCCGGGAUGUGACCCGCGAGGGUUGAACCACGAA